CAUCGCAUUUUCAUUUCCACCCACAGCAAAAUGACGUCAUUUCAAAAAACAAAAGAAGAACUUUUAGAUCGGAUUAUCUCGCUGAAUCCUUUUUGGGCAGGGACUCUCUUUCUAAUUGUCCCAAAUAAGCGGCUUUCUCCAGAGCCCAUUGUAAUUUUGGAGAAACUCACUUGCAACGGUUUUCUCGACAUGUUGUAUAGUGCUUUUAAUCUCCGUCGUGCAGAUCUGCUUAAAGAAAAGAAAUUCACAAACACAAGUCAGUGCACUUGUUCAAAACAAAAAUAAAAUAAAAAUAACAAACAAAACUGUCAAACAAAACUCCCAACAGGAUGAUGGUAACAGUAUUGCCUACUUAAAAUUGUGUUUGAUCCUAAUGAGCUUCAUUGCGUGUGUGUGUGUGUUAGUCGGGUUAAGACAUUUUCUAUUUCUGUGGGUUCUUUAUGUACCUUCCCCCUUUUUCUGAAACAAAACUCCGUUCACUCCAAAUUUUGUUUCAGAAACAUCUAAAUGAAAAUCUCUGUCAUACUCAGGCACACCUAAACCCCAAAUGCUUGCAGGUUACCAUCGGCAACCACGCUGUGUGUUAUUAACCCCUUCUACAAAUACCCUCUUUUGAUGUGUAACACUCUCUGUAUGAUUUCAUAUUCUCUGUAGUGCAUAUCAUGUACAUGUGUGGUGUUGCCUUUCCAUUUUCUCUAACAGUACUCUUGCAUACCUCAGUGCUUGUCUUCCUCCCCCUUUUGCGAUGGUCUGGACACUUUGUCAAUCCUCCACUUCAAGGCAGUCGUUUGUCUCCCCGGAUUCCUUAACCCAAUUUGAUUCCCCACACUAAAACAGCAUUCAUCUGUCCUCACCUGCUCCUUUCUCUCCAUUCUCCUCUCCCACUUUGCCGUCCAAUGGCAGUCAGUUCUCUUCAGCUUUGUCCCGCGUUUGCUCCCACUGUCUCUUUCAUUGCCAUCUUGCUCCAAACACAGCAAGUGUCAAACUCCAACAAUCUUCUCAAAAGUCCUUCACACACAGUGAGGUUGCAGUUUACCGGAAACGCAUCUCCAUUCAUCCAAUCAAGAUGAUGGAUCUUCUCUUUCUGAUGCCGUUUGCCCAAAGUGCUGCUGGACCUCUCUGCUCAGGUCUCUGGUAUUGUCUCUUGGACUGCUGUCCACUGUUGAUGUUCAUCCUCGUGCUUCUGGAACUGCACUCUGUGUCUUCAGGGAGAGAUUAGAUUCCUUGGAGCUUGCUUGUUCAGGAUGAGGACGGGAAGCUGCAAAACAAUUCAGCCAAGAAAUUCUGGCUGGGUGUUUCUUUUUUCUUUUUUUUCUAAUGAUCUUAACCUAUAAUUUCCUUCCGACUGCCGCCCGUGGAGAAUUGAUCCAGGUCCGUUCCCCACCUGUAAUCGACAGACUGAGAGACUUUCAUUAUUCACUGUGACUGGAUAUGUUUUCAUCACUCCUAAAGCAACACAUCUCCACUUAUUUUGUUUUGAACUCUAUUGACUUUAAACCCCGAAAAUGAAAUUUUAUUCGUUCUUAACCACAAACACAAAAAACUUCUUGAUGUUAUUGUUAAUUAUUUUCAUCCACAAUACUCCAAAUUAUGUUUUCUUUUGUGUCCAGCAGGGGAAGAAGAUGACCUGUAGUGUCACUGCUUUCCCCAGUUGGAGACAAUUUCCCACUCACACUUCCACACUUUUUAUUUUCUGUGUUUUCAUUAUUUUCUUCAUCUUUUUUUGUUUUUGUUACACCCACACAUUAACCUGUUCACUCACUCCUCCAAGCUCAUUUUCCUUUCACCCCAACAGCUCUCAUACAAUCAGCAAACAAAUUCUCCAUCCAUCCUUGAGUACUUGGUCACCUUUAAAUGUCACUGUUAAUUUUAUCAAUUUAUUUAUCAUUACUUUAACGCUAAUCCACUGUUUAGUUUUUUCUUUAAUUAUUUUAGUUCACUUUCUCCUAUUUGAUCACUUUGAUUUCUUAACUAUCAUUAUUUCACAGAAAAUCAACAAAUCUACUUUUUCUCCCUCUUUUGUCAUCAAGGAAUUCACACACACACCCAGGCUGGUCACUCGCCCCCACCUUUCUUCCUCUCUCACACACACACACACACACAUUUUACUCCUCCUUUGUUCCACCUGUGAACCCGCCCCUCGAGGCUGGCUCACACACACCUCAUGCUUCUCGCAGUCCCAUUCAAACUUUCUGCGAGACACCUUCUCUGCUGAUACAGGACAACGCCCUGAUCAGCACAAAGAGCGGGUGCCGUCCGCUCUUGUACACCUCAACCUAACUAGGACAAUUAGGCUCAUGAUCUUCCGAUCGCGCCACAUUUGCCUCACGAAUUAUUCAAACUGCGCCACGGACUGGAUACCGCAGUUUCUCUUCCCCAUAAAAAUAAAACCAAAUUAAACCCCCCAAUUGACUUCACAGUUUGCAACAAUUCGCGACACGGCCUCCUGCCGCGAUUUCUGCACACCACAAACACACAUUUUUAGACCCAAAUUCUUUUUGUUACUAUAAUUGACUCCGAGACGCCGACUCUAACGGCGCUUUCCACACACACAACGCAAUUUACUAACGCUGCAGUCAGUGGGGUGAGCCA
Long non-coding RNA from Oreochromis aureus, 2592 nucleotides. Lineage: Eukaryota; Metazoa; Chordata; Actinopteri; Cichliformes; Cichlidae. The record is from Ensembl.